RNAcentral lists this long non-coding RNA (4249 nucleotides) under Sus scrofa (pig). Its description in RNAcentral is "lncRNA (ENSSSCG00040032955.1)". The record is from RNAcentral. Lineage: Eukaryota; Metazoa; Chordata; Mammalia; Artiodactyla; Suidae.
GAGUACCUCUUGCCUUGUUUGCUGCCUCUGCCAAAACCCAGCCAACUUCAAGGACCUCGGGGACCUCUGCGGGCCCUACUACCCCGAACACUGCCUCCCCAAAAAGAAGCCAAAACUCAAGGAGAAGGUGCGGCCAGAGGGCACCUGUGAGGAGGCCGCGCUGCCUCUGGAGAGGACACUCAAAGGCCUCGAGUGCCCAGCCGCCACCUCUGCCACCACCGCUGCCGCCACCGGGAAGCCCCCCAGGCCUGACGGCGGCCCAGCUGACCCAGCCAAGCAGGGCUCCCUGCGCACCAGCGCCCGGGGCCUGUCCCGGCGGCUGCAGAGUUGCUACUGCUGUGACGGUCGGGGGGACGGCGGCGAGGAGGCCGCCCCGGCUGACAAGAGCCGCAGGCACGAGUGCAGCAAGGAGCCUCCCGCGGAGGCUGGCGGGGACACCCAGGAGCACUGGGUGCACGAGGCCUGUGCCGUGUGGACAGGCGGGGUUUACCUGGUGGCCGGGAAGCUCUUUGGGCUGCAGGAGGCCAUGAAGGUGGCCGUGGACAGGACUUGUUCCAGCUGCCAAGAAGCCGGGGCCACCAUCGGGUGCUGUCACGAAGGAUGCCUCCACGCCUAUCAUUACCCGUGUGCCAGCGACGCGGGUAAGAGCCAGACGCCGGCACGGGAGGUCGGGGGAGCGGGCACGGCUCCCUGCACCAGCCCUGCCCGAGCCCUCGGCUUCCCUCUCCUGCGCGGCAAUGCUUUUGCUUUCCUUUGUUUUUACGGCCACACCUGCAGCACAUGAAGUUCGCAGGCUGGGCGUCUAAUCAGAACCACAGCUGCCAGCCUACACCACAGCCACAGCCACGCCGGAUCCGAGCCGCCUCUGCGACCCACGCCGCAGCUCAUGGCAACGCCAGAUCCUUAACCCACUGAGCGAGGCCAGGGAUCGAACCCGCAUCCUCACAGAGACAACAUCAGGUUCCUAACUUGCUGAGCCACAAUGACAACUCCGCCCCCGCAGUUCUACCUCCUGUGUCUCCUCGGCCACGCGCCGGAGCAGUGCCCGGAGGCAGGGGCCACAAGGCGGAAGGAGGGGGCUGUCACUGCCAAGGGGCACCUAGAGGUGGGCGGGACCUCGGGCCUCGAAGCGCAGGGCCGCCAGGGCUGGGCCUCGAAGGCUGAACGGGAGCUCACUGGGUUGGAGAAAGAAAGGAAACGAGACACUUCAGUGACGAAAGCCGAGAGGCAAGGAGACGAGGCUCGAGCCAGACGCGCCGGCUGCGGGCAGAGCUGCGGCCGGUCUCCCGCAGGGCGGCGCGGUCUGGAGGCAGGAGCGGCGCCCCCGCGUCUGCCCCAUUCUCCCCUCGCUCACGCGCCUGCUCCGCGGGCGUGUGUCCCGCAGAGAAUGCAGCUGCCCGCGUCCCGGGCACCUUCUUGGCGCGUGGACCGGGCAGGCCCACCACCGUCUCCGCGCCGGGUCCCCAUCCCUAAAACGGAGGGUAUUCGGACUCCUCCUUCCUGCCGCCGUGGGCAGCAGGAGUGAGGUCACCACGCCCCAGAACGGACGGCCCCAGUGCUCUUGGGGGGCGGCCCCCACGGCCGCUGGGCCCCCGCCACCCGCGCCCGCUCUCCUCUGGCCCAUAGGGGGGCCGGCCGCAUAGUGACUCUAGGCCUGAAGACAGAGCAGAGGCAUCCCCCAGCAGGACCCUUCCCCACCCGAGCCUGCUGGGCAGAAGGGACCCCUGGCCCCAACGGAGCUGCUCCCAGGACCACUCGGGACUCUGAGUGACGGCGGUUCCUUGGUGAGGGCCAAGCCACUGUGCCCGGCAGGGAGAGGGCCUGCUCCGGCCCCGGCCUCCUGCCUCCCAGUGUGAGCAGAUCUUAACCUGGACGCAGCCCCUUUGCCAGACACACAGCCCAACUCCCGUAAGAGCUGCCACGCACCGCAGCCGUCCUCCCGCGGUGACCCCGUUGGCACGCACCCUGCCAGCCCUGCGCUGUCUCCAGCCUCAUGUUUACAGACAGGCUGCCCGACCUGUGACCACGGCACCACAGGGACACAACCAGAGUGUGCCUCCCUGCCUGGCUGGUUCCACGUCCUGGGCUCUGUAUACCUCCCAGUAGCGCCCGGGCUGCCAGGGGACUCGCCUCUGAGUGGAGCAGACAGGAAGUCCAUGGUCCUUGCACAAAGCUGUAGAGACCACCAGACAAAGACAAGAGAGCCUGUGCCGCGGGAGAGGCCCAUCCUGAGUUAGGAGGGAAUCCUGGAGGACUUCUAAGAGGAGGUGACAUGGGAGCCAGUCCUCAAGAGUUCAGGGAAGGUGGGCAGCAGCUGGUUUGUGGGGGGACCCGCACAGGCUUGGAGCAACACAAGCUGUCUCCAGUGAGGUCUCUAACCCAUGGAACUUCCCUGGAGUAGGGUCUUGGUGGAGCCGCAGGGGCCGCGAGGAAGUGGGCUGGAGGCUGGGCGGAGGAGCGGAGCUGUGCUGGGGGAACAGGGCGGGGGCCAAGCAGGCCGUCCCACAGCCUGGCAGCUACUGGCCCUUCCAGGCCCAAUCUCAUGGCUUCACCCUCAGCCUCCAUUAGCUCUCAUGCAGGUACUGCCGGCCUGGCCUGGCCUGGCUGAGUUCCCUCAGGGGGCCAAGGUCAGUGGCUGCUGAGACACCCCCUCCCCGCGGCCCCUCCCCUUCAACAGCAGGCCCAGGACUGGCCACGCAGCUGACCAUACCAGGCUCAGGCUGGCAGCAUGGGGAAGGCAAGGCACCUCCUCCCUCACAGGAGGGGUUGCAGAGCCACUUGGGGGGGGGUUCUAGCAUGAGGUGACUGCCUGAGCAGCAAGGAGCAGAGGUUUGGAAGGGCAGCAGCCGUGGCGGGGGCACAGCAGCCAGAGAAGGUGGGAGAACCCAGCCGGCGGGAGCCCCAGGCACCUGUCCCCUAUCAGCGCCUGCGCAAACCUGGGUCUGGACGCGGGGUCCCUGGGGCUCCGCAGGUGUCUGGGCCGGGCUCUCAACCGCGGAGCGCGACCCCUGCGCCUCGCUGCGAGCCGGCACCAGGGCCCACUUUGUCGGCUGGGUCGGCGUUCCGCAGCCGCAGACACGGGGAGAGAGCCCUCCCCCUCCACCCCCAGAGUGGACGCCGGUGGGCGGCUGGGCAACUUGGUUCUGGAAGUGACACCCUCCCCGCCUCCACCCUUGGCGGCGGGGGCUCCGCGCCUGCAGCCCCCGGGCUCGGCCCCGUGCAGCUGGGAAAGUGGGAGCUCAGUCCCGCACUCGCCCGGCCUGCCUGAGCGCAGGCAAGGCCUCCCCUGACAAGCGGGGGCGUCCCAGGCGCGAGGGGGACGACCGUGAAGGGCAGACAGGCCAGGGGGCUGAGGUUCAGCAGGUGGCGUUCGGGUUCUGUCGCAUUUCAAGCAGGGUCUGACUUACUCCGCAAACUGCCCCGCCGCCUGCGGCCUCCGGGGCGGCGCGACCCCCUCCCGGCCUGACGCGACGGCGUCCUGACCGCUCGAACGUCUCUUUGCUCGCAGGUUGCGUCUUCGUCGAAGAGAACUUUUCUUUGAAAUGCCCCAAACAUAAGAGGCUGCCGUUGUAAUCCGCCCUCGGCCGAAGCCCCGGAGCCCGCCUGCCUGCCAGCCGCCGAGGGAGAGGAUUCGCCUGCACAGCCCCCGGGCCUUUGCGCUGCUCCCGGCGCCAGUCCCGAGCCGAUCCCCGAUCCAGACCCCGGAUCUUGGAUCUGGCCGCCUCGGGCGGAAGCUGGUGGUCCCGGGUUGGGAAGAAAACACGUUCCGGGUCCCUUUGCUCCCGGAACCUGACGGCACAGGGCCUUCUCGCCCCCAUCCUCCAGCCAGGCUUGGAGAAGGGGAGCCCGCGGAGUGGCCAGACUCCUGGGGCCAGCCAGGUUCCGGUGGGGGUGGAGGGCCUUGAGCCUGGGGACGCGCCUCUUCCCUGGAAGUUCCAGUAUGACCUGGCACACAUUCCACGUGGGUCGGUGGUGGCACGCAGCUGAGCACCCCGGGGGUGGGCCGGGCUGGGAUCCCAGAGGCCGAGGGCGGCUCCCCUCAAGAGCGUCCCUCCUUGAACGAGGCUGGGGCGCAGGACAGGCCGGAGGCUGUGCGCCCUUCCCGCUCAGCCUUGGCCAAAACCUUCGUGCGGGUCGGGCAGGGCUGGGAGACUGGGGCCCGCGCUCAGGGGAUGCGGGCUUCCCCGGGCGUGGGCAGGACCAGCCCUCGCUGCUUGUGUUCGUUCCCCCUUCCAGUCCGCCCCAUCCC